GCUCGUGUCGUGAGAUGUUGGUUAAGUCCCGCAACGAGCGCAACCCCUAUUGUUAGUUGCCAUCAUUCAGUUGGGCACUCUAGCGAGACUGCCGGUAAUAAACCGGAGGAAGGUGGGGAUGACGUCAAAUCAUCAUGCCCUUAUGACCUGGGCUACACACGUGCUACAAUGGUUGGUACAACGAGUUGCGAGUCGGUGACGGCGAGCUAAUCUCUUAAAGCCAAUCUCAGUUCGGAUUGUAGGCUGCAACUCGCCUACAUGAAGUCGGAAUCGCUAGUAAUCGCGGAUCAGCACGCCGCGGUGAAUACGUUCCCGGGCCUU
This 321-nucleotide ribosomal RNA is filed under the name uncultured Streptococcus sp. RNAcentral's name for it is "bacterial SSU rRNA". It matches the Rfam family "Bacterial small subunit ribosomal RNA", at positions 1058 to 1382 of the family's 1533-position model. Lineage: Bacteria; Bacillati; Bacillota; Bacilli; Lactobacillales; Streptococcaceae. The record is from RNAcentral.